Molecule: ribosomal RNA, 119 nt
Filed under: Nicotiana sylvestris (wood tobacco)
Lineage: Eukaryota; Viridiplantae; Streptophyta; Magnoliopsida; Solanales; Solanaceae
Source: RNAcentral
AGAUGCAAUCAUAUCACCACUAACGCACCGGAUCCCAUCAGAACUCCGAAGCUAAGCGUGCUCAGGCGAGAGUAGUACUAGGAUGGGUGACCCCCUGGGAAGUCCUCGUGUUGCAUCCC